CUGAAAUAAACCUAGAUUUAGCAAAAACGUAAAAUGAAAUAAGUAUUUUAGUUCGACUCAGUCGGUUGUGAAUGAUUAUGGUUUGUGUCAAAACCUUGAAACUAUACAGGUUGAAACUUCAAACUUGAAUGGUUAUAUUAUCACGUUCAAUAGAAAAUUGCAAAUGCUAUUCAAAAUUUCAAACUCGAGACUUACAGAGUGCUCUCUAAGAACUAUGGUGGAUCUCUUUAGAAUCGUAAUAGUGGAUCACUAUUAGCGGUUGUAAAUCAGAACCGGUUGCACGAGACCGUUGAAUUCACAUCUGUAGUGCACAUAUGGAAUACACCAAUAACAAUAGAUAUGUGUACUGUACCCGUAUGACUCGGAAUUUAACGGAAAAAAUUUGAAUUCUCAGACACGACCUGUGCGACAAAGGAUAUAGUGAUAGUUGGUGCUGACUGUCGAGGGGAAGCAAGUUUCCAUAUCGGGACGAACGAUGAAGUUGCGCCGCAAUGACCGCGACCUUCGUAAACAGCGGGCGUGGUGUGGUCAUUCAGUAUUUAACGGAUAGAGUUACCGUUUGUGUGUGACACCGAAAAUUUUACCACGACAUUAUGAACGAAACCGUUGCUUAUAAGGGUCGUUAUAGACACUGCAAUCAAAAAUACAUACACAUUAACACAUGGUAUAGUAUGGACGUAUAGUAUACACAUGUUAUAGCAGUACACAAUGUCACGCACGAUUUUCAACGGGUAAUGCAUGGAAUCGUUUUUAGCAAUUGCACGUGGAAGUGUUAUUAAAACGAAACAUGAUCGCACAAUAUUAUACUGUGAACUGUGUUUACGUCCUUUACGAAAUCAAUA
Long non-coding RNA from Aphis gossypii (cotton aphid), 842 nucleotides. RefSeq lists it as uncharacterized. NCBI's taxonomy places the organism in Eukaryota, Metazoa, Arthropoda, Insecta, Hemiptera, Aphididae. The record is from RefSeq and is a predicted model, not a curated record. The transcript is spliced from 5 exons.